This 474-nucleotide ribosomal RNA is filed under the name uncultured organism. RNAcentral's name for it is "partial 16S ribosomal RNA". It matches the Rfam family "Bacterial small subunit ribosomal RNA", at positions 333 to 798 of the family's 1533-position model. The record is from RNAcentral.
ACACUCCUACGGGAGGCAGCAGUGGGGAAUUUUGGACAAUGGGCGAAAGCCUGAUCCAGCCAUGCCGCGUGCAGGAUGAAGGCCUUCGGGUUGUAAACUGCUUUUGUACGGAACGAAACGGCCUUUUCUAAUAAAGAGGGCUAAUGACGGUACCGUAAGAAUAAGCACCGGCUAACUACGUGCCAGCAGCCGCGGUAAUACGUAGGGUGCAAGCGUUAAUCGGAAUUACUGGGCGUAAAGCGUGCGCAGGCGGUUAUGUAAGACAGUUGUGAAAUCCCCGGGCUCAACCUGGGAACUGCAUCUGUGACUGCAUAGCUAGAGUACGGUAGAGGGGGAUGGAAUUCCGCGUGUAGCAGUGAAAUGCGUAGAUAUGCGGAGGAACACCGAUGGCGAAGGCAAUCCCCUGGACCUGUACUGACGCUCAUGCACGAAAGCGUGGGGAGCAAACAGGAUUAGAAACCCUGGUAGUCCCAU